This 105-nucleotide ribosomal RNA is filed under the name uncultured Parabacteroides sp. The record is from RNAcentral. Lineage: Bacteria; Pseudomonadati; Bacteroidota; Bacteroidia; Bacteroidales; Tannerellaceae.
GGUGGUUAUAGCACGAGGGAUCCACCUCUUCCCAUUCCGAACAGAGAAGUUAAGCCUCGUCACGCCGAUGGUACUGCGUAACAGUGGGAGAGUAGGUAGCCGCCG